UACGAAGGGGGCUAGCGUUGUUCGGAAUUACUGGGCGUAAAGCGUGCGCAGGCGGUUUUCCAAGUCAGUGGUGAAAGCCCGGAGCUCAACUCCGGAACUGCCAUUGAAACUGUGAAACUAGAGUACGAGAGAGGUGAGUGGAAUUCCCAGUGUAGAGGUGAAAUUCGUAGAUAUUCGGAAGAACACCAGUGGCGAAGGCGACUUACUGGACACAUAUUGACGCUGAGGUGCGAAAGCGUGGGGAGCAAACAGG
RNAcentral lists this ribosomal RNA (253 nucleotides) under uncultured bacterium. RNAcentral's name for it is "partial 16S ribosomal RNA". It matches the Rfam family "Bacterial small subunit ribosomal RNA", at positions 524 to 776 of the family's 1533-position model. The record is from RNAcentral.